GAGUUUGAUCGUGGCUCAGAUUGAACGCUGGCGGCAUGCCUUACACAUGCAAGUCGAACGGCAGCAUGAUCUAGCUUGCUAGAUUGAUGGCGAGUGGCGAACGGGUGAGUAAUACAUCGGAACGUGCCCUGUAGUGGGGGAUAACUAGUCGAAAGAUUAGCUAAUACCGCAUACGACCUGAGGGUGAAAGUGGGGGACCGCAAGGCCUCAUGCUAUAGGAGCGGCCGAUGUCUGAUUAGCUAGUUGGUGGGGUAAAGGCCCACCAAGGCGACGAUCAGUAGCUGGUCUGAGAGGACGAUCAGCCACACUGGGACUGAGACACGGCCCAGACUCCUACGGGAGGCAGCAGUGGGGAAUUUUGGACAAUGGGCGAAAGCCUGAUCCAGCAAUGCCGCGUGUGUGAAGAAGGCCUGGUUGUAAG
This 421-nucleotide ribosomal RNA is filed under the name uncultured microorganism. Its description in RNAcentral is "bacterial SSU rRNA". It matches the Rfam family "Bacterial small subunit ribosomal RNA", at positions 9 to 429 of the family's 1533-position model. The record is from RNAcentral.